GACGAACGCUGGCGGCGUGCUUAACACAUGCAAGUCGAACGGAAAGGCCCUGCUUGCAGUGUACUCGAGUGGCGAACGGGUGAGUAACACGUGGGUGAUCUGCCCUGCACUUCGGGAUAAGCCUGGGAAACUGGGUCUAAUACCGGAUAGGAGCCAUUUUUAGUGUGAUGGUUGGAAAGUUUUUUCGGUGUAGGAUGAGCUCGCGGCCUAUCAGCUUGUUGGUGGGGUAAUGGCCUACCAAGGCGGCGACGGGUAGCCGGCCUGAGAGGGUGGACGGCCACAUUGGGACUGAGAUACGGCCCAGACUCCUACGGGAGGCAGCAGUGGGGAAUAUUGCACAAUGGGCGCAAGCCUGAUGCAGCGACGCCGCGUGGGGGAUGACGGCCUUCGGGUUGUAAACUCCUUUCGCUAGGGACGAAGCUUUUGUGACGGUACCUAGAUAAGAAGCACCGGCUAACUACGUG
Molecule: ribosomal RNA, 464 nt
Filed under: uncultured bacterium
Lineage: Bacteria
Description: partial 16S ribosomal RNA
Rfam family: Bacterial small subunit ribosomal RNA
Source: RNAcentral